Molecule: long non-coding RNA, 125 nt
Organism: Dreissena polymorpha
Lineage: Eukaryota; Metazoa; Mollusca; Bivalvia; Myida; Dreissenidae
Exons: 3
Source: RefSeq, a predicted model, not a curated record
GUGAGGUGGGUGAUUCUUGGGGGUUAGUACUCACAACUGCAUUGGGUGAGGUGGGUGAAUCUUGGGGGUUAGUACUCACAGUUACAUUGGGUGAGGUGGGUGAUUCUUGGGGGUUAGUACUCACA